GAGAGAUCUGUGCAAGUUUACAGUGAGUGAGUGUCAGGACUAGGAUUGGAGGAACUCUCUCUCUUGGCUUCUGACCCACCCUGGGAUCCAGGAGAAAGAAUAAGUUCCUACUCUGGGCUAUUUGCUUUAGAUGGGCAGGGACUUUGAAGGGUUUGCUCUCCAGGUUUUACAAAGCCCAUGUCUCAGGGCUGCUCACAACUUUGCUGGUCAGAGGAAGGUCUGCUUUGCUUUUUUUCCUGGCUUCUGGAACCAGAACUUCCCAAUAUGCACUGCUCAGCUGGAGCCCCCAGCCCACUGCCGUCUCCUGUCUUCAUGUUCCAGAACCCUCUUCCAGCAAAGAAGAGUCCGCUGGUACCACAGCUGGGUGGAGUCCAUGUUUUCUGGGUGGAAGCUGUGUCCUGCCAGGAAGCUUUUCAAAAAAGGAAACUUCUCCCCGCCCUGACCCAUGACCCACUCUGCCUCCAGCCUGGGCAGGUGAGGCAUGCCACUCAUUGUCCUGGGCUCAUCCCAGCCCCUCCCUUGCCGGGCAGGACUUGGACGGCCAGAACAGGCACACACAGGCUGUGUGGCCUAAAGGAUAUCAAGGGCGAGGCAGGUGGUGGCAGGGCAGUAAGUUCGAUGCUGUGUGUUACCUGCACGAGUCACUUCCUCCCCUGGGCUUCCACCUCCCCUCCUGUCAUAAAGGCCAUGCCACCCGCUCUACACACAGAGUGAGGAUGUAGAGGGUGGGCUUAAGUUCUGAAAACACACCUGUCUUGCAUAGGGGACGUUUAUUGAUUUUUCAACCUCUUCUAAUAAAC
This 800-nucleotide long non-coding RNA is filed under the name Marmota monax (woodchuck). Lineage: Eukaryota; Metazoa; Chordata; Mammalia; Rodentia; Sciuridae. The record is from RNAcentral.